CCUCCUGCUAAAUUCAGCAAUGAGAGCAACCAGAUCCAGGCUGAAGUGCUGUUUAACUUCGUUAUCAAUGACAUCAAGAACCCCAGUGCUUUACUGAAGGAGAUCCUGAACAUUACAGGACCUGCCAAGGGCAUCACAGCCUCACUGAGCAUCAAUGGUCGGCCAGCUGCAACGGCAGCUCCCACUACAAUGGCGCCAUCUGCAGCUCCACUUAUAAG
Molecule: non-coding RNA, 218 nt
Organism: Lepisosteus oculatus (spotted gar)
Lineage: Eukaryota; Metazoa; Chordata; Actinopteri; Semionotiformes; Lepisosteidae
Source: RefSeq, a predicted model, not a curated record